GCUGGAUGGACAGACUGCCCCCCUAGCCCAGGAGUAAGCCAUGGGCUCCUGUACGCGGGGCCCGCCCAGGAGAGGAGGCCACGCCCCCGCGGAGGUCCUGGACGGGUCCCACUCCUCGCCCAGACCUCAGAGGCGCUCCCUGCGAGCUGGACACCGGCGCGACGCGCGUCCCUGUCAGCGUUCGGAUCGAUAUUUUUAAUGACCUGCUUCUACUGUGAUCGUGUUAACUUCGGCCACAAAGGGAGCCCAGAACGCAUGCUGAGCGCCCCAGUCAAGUCCUGCUUACCUUGCAAUGGUGCCGAUGUGACUAGAGCUGCUGAGCCCUGAGGGCCCGGCACUCGGCUGCAGGACAGGAUUCCCAGAAACACUCGACUCUGAGUUGAACAGAGACACUGGUACAGAAAACAGCGCAAGAUCAGUCAAAUGCAGAUCGGGGCUCUCGUGGUUUGUCAGCCCUCCACGGCAAGGGUCAGCCCCGGGCCCCCUCCUCACCGCACCCUGCUGCAGAGGCGGCUUUGGGGCUCGCCUGGAGACGCCCCACAUCUUCACACGAAGGAAACCAGGGCCCGAGAGCUGGCCGCAAGGCCACACUGGCUCAGGCGCUGGCCCCACAGGCCCUGCGAGGGGCUGUUCCACAGGGCAAGUUCCCGCGGGUCUCUCGGGUCCUGUGCCUGGGCCCAAGUGCUUUUGGGCCCCUGCACCUACUUGGGAGACCCGGAAGAAGCUCCUGGCUUCGGAUCAGUGAACCAGCGGAUGGAAGACCUCUCUCUCUCGCUCUCUGUAACUCUGCCUUUCAAAUAAAUAAAUCUUUUAAGAAAUAAAAACUAAAAAACCCCAAACA
This 841-nucleotide long non-coding RNA is filed under the name Oryctolagus cuniculus (rabbit). Its description in RNAcentral is "lncRNA (ENSOCUG00000030383.1)". Lineage: Eukaryota; Metazoa; Chordata; Mammalia; Lagomorpha; Leporidae. The record is from RNAcentral.